CACGUAGUUAGCCGGUGCUUUUUCUGCAGGUACCGUCAAGAACCGAAGCUCCCUUCUUCCCUACUAAAAGAGGUUUACAACCCGAAGGCCGUCAUCCCUCACGCGGCGUUGCUGCAUCAGGCUUUCGCCCAUUGUGCAAUAUUCCCCACUGCUGCCUCCCGUAGGAGUCUGGGCCGUGUCUCAGUCCCGGUGUGGCCGGUCACCCUCUCAGGCCGGCUACCCGUCGUCGCCUUGGUGAGCCAUUACCUCACCAACAAGCUGAUAGGCCGCGAGUCCAUCCCCAACCAAAAAUCUUUCCACCACCAGGCCAUGCGACCAGUGAUCAUAUCCAGUAUUAGACGUCGUUUCCAACGCUUAUCCCAGAGUCAGGGGCAGGUUACUCACGUGUUACUCACCCGUUCGCCACUAAUCACAGGAGCAAGCUCCUGAUCAUCGUUCGACUUGCAUGUGUUAAGCACGCCGCCAGCGUGUCCUGUAGCCAGGAGUCAACUAC
RNAcentral lists this ribosomal RNA (493 nucleotides) under uncultured Curtobacterium sp. RNAcentral's name for it is "partial 16S ribosomal RNA". The record is from RNAcentral. Lineage: Bacteria; Bacillati; Actinomycetota; Actinomycetes; Micrococcales; Microbacteriaceae.